Molecule: long non-coding RNA, 621 nt
Filed under: Nicotiana benthamiana
Lineage: Eukaryota; Viridiplantae; Streptophyta; Magnoliopsida; Solanales; Solanaceae
Description: long non-coding RNA (NBEN_LNC032324)
Source: RNAcentral
AACAUUGUAUCUCUUUUUUCUCCUUCUCAAAUAUUCCGUAGAUUGCUAAUCCUCGUGUUCCUAAAUCCUCCAUCGAUCCAGGAUGUUUACAUGGUAUCAAAGCGUGGAUCCUGAUUGAUCUCUUCGCACUGAAUCGAGCGAUGGUACCCUCGUUCAAUUUCGAGAAAAUUCAUUAUCUUCUUUUUUUCUCUCUCGCACAAAAUAUAAUCUUCGAUUUUUCUUCGAAUUUCUUGCAAUUUCCAUCUUAUAUCCUCAAUAUCUCAGUCAAUUUGAAGUUUUUCCUUUGGUUUCCAGUUGGAGACUGUUGUUGUUGAAGUUAGGAUUCAAGUAUUGUUUUGAAGCUAGGGUUCGAGCUCACCGUCGAAGUUAGGGUUUUUGAUUUGCAGCCUUCAAAUCUUGUUUUUUAGAUUCUCGUGAUUAUCAAGGCCGUGCUCUUUUCGAUUGCAAAAGAGGCUGGUAAUAUCAUUUUUUCUCAAAAUCUAUGUUAUAAAGUAGAGCUGUUGACUACUCCUUGAACUUUGAAGAUUGUUGUUGUGAUAUUUUGUGUUUUGGUGUAUUUUGGAUUGUGAAAAUGGGUAGUACUGACGGAACUAUUGAUUCCUCCAGUCCAAUGUUCCUUCC